GACGAACGCUGGCGGCGUGCUUAACACAUGUAAGUCGAACGAUGAACCCGGAGCUUGCUCAGGUGGAUUAGUGGCGAACGGGUGAGUAACACGUGAGUAACCUGCGCCUGACUCGGGACUACCUGGGGGAAACUGUAGCUAAUACCGGAUACGACCCUGUGCGGCAUGGCCAGGGGGGGGAAAGAAUUUCGGUCAAGGAUGGACUCGCGGCCUAUCAGCUAGUUGGUGAGGUAACGGCUCACCAAGGCGACGACGGGUAGCCGGCCUGAGAGGGUGACCGGCCACACUGGGACUGAGACACGGCCCAGACUCCUACGGGAGGCAGCAGUGGGGAAUAUUGCACAAUGGGCGCAAGCCUGAUGCAGCAACGCCGCGUGAGGGAUGACGGCCUUCGGGUUGUAAACCUCUUUUAGUAGGGAAGAAGCGAAAGUGACGGUACCUGCAGAAAAAGCACCGGCUAACUACGUGCCAGCCGCCGCAGUAA
This 484-nucleotide ribosomal RNA is filed under the name uncultured bacterium. RNAcentral describes it as "partial 16S ribosomal RNA". It matches the Rfam family "Bacterial small subunit ribosomal RNA", at positions 28 to 523 of the family's 1533-position model. The record is from RNAcentral.